RNAcentral lists this ribosomal RNA (464 nucleotides) under uncultured bacterium. RNAcentral describes it as "partial 16S ribosomal RNA". It matches the Rfam family "Bacterial small subunit ribosomal RNA", at positions 338 to 795 of the family's 1533-position model. The record is from RNAcentral.
CCUACGGGAGGCAGCAGUAGGGAAUUUUCGUCAAUGAGCGCAAGCCUGAACGAGCAAUGCCGCGUGAACGAGGAAGGUCUUCGGAUCGUAAAGUGCUGUUGAAAGGGAAGAAGAGCGGCAAGAGGAAAUGCUUUCUGAUUGAUGUUACCCUUCGAGGAAGUCACGGCUAACUACGUGCCAGCAGCCGCGGUAAUACGUAGGUGGCGAGCGUUAUCCGGAAUGAUUGGGCGUAAAGGGUGCGUAGGCGGCUUGCUAAGUCUGGAGUUAAAUGUACGGGCUCAACCGCGACAGGCUCUGGAAACUGGCGAGCUAGAGAGAGAGAGAGGGAAGCGGAAUUCCAUGUGUAGCGGUAAAAUGCGUAGAUAUAUGGAAGAACACCAGUGGCGAAGGCAGCUGACUGGCUUGUUACUGACGCUGAGGGACGAAAGCGUGGGGAGCAAAUAGGAUUAGAUACCCCAGUAGUC